RNAcentral lists this ribosomal RNA (761 nucleotides) under Prevotella melaninogenica. RNAcentral describes it as "bacterial SSU rRNA". It matches the Rfam family "Bacterial small subunit ribosomal RNA", at positions 28 to 776 of the family's 1533-position model. Lineage: Bacteria; Pseudomonadati; Bacteroidota; Bacteroidia; Bacteroidales; Prevotellaceae. The record is from RNAcentral.
GAUGAACGCUAGCUACAGGCUUAACACAUGCAAGUCGAGGGGAAACGGCAUUAAGUGCUUGCACUUUUUGGACGUCGACCGGCGCACGGGUGAGUAACGCGUAUCCAACCUUCCCAUGACUAAGGGAUAACCUGCCGAAGGGCAGACUAAUACCUUAUGGUCUUCACUGACGGCAUCAGAUGUGAAGUAAAGAUUUAUCGGUUAUGGAUGGGGAUGCGUCUGAUUAGCUUGUUGGCGGGGUAACGGCCCACCAAGGCAACGAUCAGUAGGGGUUCUGAGAGGAAGGUCCCCCACAUUGGAACUGAGACACGGUCCAAACUCCUACGGGAGGCAGCAGUGAGGAAUAUUGGUCAAUGGGCGAGAGCCUGAACCAGCCAAGUAGCGUGCAGGAUGACGGCCCUAUGGGUUGUAAACUGCUUUUGUAUGGGGAUAAAGUCAAUCACGUGUGAUUGUUUGCAGGUACCAUACGAAUAAGGACCGGCUAAUUCCGUGCCAGCAGCCGCGGUAAUACGGAAGGUCCGGGCGUUAUCCGGAUUUAUUGGGUUUAAAGGGAGCGUAGGCUGGAGAUUAAGUGUGUUGUGAAAUGUAGACGCUCAACGUCUGACUUGCAGCGCAUACUGGUUUCCUUGAGUACGCACAACGUUGGCGGAAUUCGUCGUGUAGCGGUGAAAUGCUUAGAUAUGACGAAGAACUCCGAUUGCGAAGGCAGCUGACGGGAGCGCAACUGACGCUGAAGCUCGAAGGUGCGGGUAUCGAACAGG